CUAAGUUGGGCACUUUAGAGAGACUGCCGGUGUUAAAGCCGGAGGAAGUGGGGAUGACGUCAAGUCCUCAUGGCCUUUAUGUCUAGGGCUACACACGUGCUACAAUGGGUGGUACAAAGAGCAGCUAACUCGCGAGAGUAUGCAAAUCUCAAAAAGCCAUCCUCAGUUCGGAUUGGAGUCUGCAACUCGACUCCAUGAAGUUGGAAUCGCUAGUAAUCGCGGAUCAGCAUGCCGCGGUGAAUACGUUCCCGGGCCCUU
RNAcentral lists this ribosomal RNA (258 nucleotides) under uncultured Smithella sp. RNAcentral's name for it is "partial 16S ribosomal RNA". It matches the Rfam family "Bacterial small subunit ribosomal RNA", at positions 1126 to 1382 of the family's 1533-position model. Lineage: Bacteria; Pseudomonadati; Thermodesulfobacteriota; Syntrophia; Syntrophales; Smithellaceae. The record is from RNAcentral.